GGAGGUAUAGCUCAGUGACAGAGCACAUGCUUAGCAUGCAUGAGGCCCUGGGUUUGAUCCCCAGCACCUCUA
This is a non-coding RNA of Sciurus carolinensis (gray squirrel), 72 nucleotides long. The record is from the annotation of a RefSeq genome assembly. NCBI's taxonomy places the organism in Eukaryota, Metazoa, Chordata, Mammalia, Rodentia, Sciuridae.